Molecule: long non-coding RNA, 239 nt
Organism: Perca fluviatilis (European perch)
Lineage: Eukaryota; Metazoa; Chordata; Actinopteri; Perciformes; Percidae
Exons: 3
Source: RefSeq, a predicted model, not a curated record
GCCUCAACCUCUUCGCCUCAUUGAUGUUGUUUAAUGUUCCUGGAUCCGUCUUACGUUCCUGCUUCCAUCCUACGUUCCUGGAUCCGGAGUGACAGCCUUCACAUCAUCAUCAGCAGCAGCAGUAGAGAAUAUAAUCCACGGAGGUUUUAUAUCGGUAUGUACGGCGUUUUAAUCACUGUUCUGUCGUCUAAGAAGCUGGUAAACUUAUCAAAAGAUCCAACUUCUUUCCAGGAAAGAUU